This 239-nucleotide ribosomal RNA is filed under the name uncultured bacterium. RNAcentral's name for it is "partial 16S ribosomal RNA". It matches the Rfam family "Bacterial small subunit ribosomal RNA", at positions 116 to 354 of the family's 1533-position model. The record is from RNAcentral.
CGUGAGUAACCUGCCUUGGAGUGGGGAAUAACACAUCGAAAGAUGUGCUAAUACCGCAUAAUGCAGUUGGGCCGCAUGGCUCUGACUGCCAAAGAUUUAUCGCUCUGAGAUGGACUCGCGUCUGAUUAGCUGGUUGGCGGGGUAACGGCCCACCAAGGCGACGAUCGGUAGCCGGACUGAGAGGUUGACCGGCCACAUUGGGACUGAGACACGGCCCAGACUCCUACGGAAGGCAGCAG